This is a non-coding RNA of Flavobacteriaceae bacterium TMED206, 72 nucleotides long. The record is from Rfam. Lineage: Bacteria; Pseudomonadati; Bacteroidota; Flavobacteriia; Flavobacteriales; Flavobacteriaceae.
GCGAAAGUAGCUCAGUGGUAGAGCGUCACCUUGCCAAGGUGAGGGUCGCGGGUUCAAAUCCCGUCUUUCGCU